GAGUUUGAUCAUGGCUCAGGACGAACGCUGGCGGCGUGCCUAAUACAUGCAAGUAGAACGCUGAAGAGAGGAGCUUGCUCUUCUUGGAUGAGUUGCGAACGGGUGAGUAACGCGUAGGUAACCUGCCUUGUAGCGGGGGAUAACUAUUGGAAACGAUAGCUAAUACCGCAUAACAAUAGGUGACACAUGUCAUUUAUUUGAAAGGGGCAAUUGCUCCACUACAAGAUGGACCUGCGUUGUAUUAGCUAGUAGGUGAGGUAACGGCUCACCUAGGCGACGAUACAUAGCCGACCUGAGAGGGUGAUCGGCCACACUGGGACUGAGACACGGCCCAGACUCCUACGGGAGGCAGCAGUAGGGAAUCUUCGGCAAUGGGGGCAACCCUGACCGAGCAACGCCGCGUGAGUGAAGAAGGUUUUCGGAUCGUAAAGCUCUGUUGUAAGUCAAGAACGAGUGUGAGAGUGGAAAGUUCACACUGUGACGGUAGCUUACCAGAAAGGGACGGCUAACUACGUGCCAGCAGCCGCGGCAAUACGUAGGUCCCGAGCGUUGUCCGGAUUUAUUGGGCGUAAAGCGAGCGCAGGCGGUUUGAUAAGUCUGAAGUUAAAGGCUGUGGCUCAACCAUAGUUCGCUUUGGAAACUGUCAAACUUGAGUGCAGAAGGGGAGAGUGGAAUUCCAUGUGUAGCGGUGAAAUGCGUAGAUAUAUGGAGGAACACCGGUGGCGAAAGCGGCUCUCUGGUCUGUAACUGACGCUGAGGCUCGAAAGCGUGGGGAGCGAACAGGAUUAGAUACCCUGGUAGUCCACGCCGUAAACGAUGAGUGCUAGGUGUUGGAUCCUUUCCGGGAUUCAGUGCCGCAGCUAACGCAUUAAGCACUCCGCCUGGGGAGUACGACCGCAAGGUUGAAACUCAAAGGAAUUGACGGGGGCCCGCACAAGCGGUGGAGCAUGUGGUUUAAUUCGAAGCAACGCGAAGAACCUUACCAGGUCUUGACAUCCCGAUGCUAUUUCUAGAGAUAGAAAGUUACUUCGGUACAUCGGUGACAGGUGGUGCAUGGUUGUCGUCAGCUCGUGUCGUGAGAUGUUGGGUUAAGUCCCGCAACGAGCGCAACCCCUAUUGUUAGUUGCCAUCAUUCAGUUGGGCACUCUAGCGAGACUGCCGGUAAUAAACCGGAGGAAGGUGGGGAUGACGUCAAAUCAUCAUGCCCCUUAUGACCUGGGCUACACACGUGCUACAAUGGUUGGUACAACGAGUUGCGAGUCGGUGACGGCAAGCUAAUCUCUUAAAGCCAAUCUCAGUUCGGAUUGUAGGCUGCAACUCGCCUACAUGAAGUCGGAAUCGCUAGUAAUCGCGGAUCAGCACGCCGCGGUGAAUACGUUCCCGGGCCUUGCACACACCGCCCGUC
This 1405-nucleotide ribosomal RNA is filed under the name uncultured bacterium. Its description in RNAcentral is "bacterial SSU rRNA". It matches the Rfam family "Bacterial small subunit ribosomal RNA". The record is from RNAcentral.